This 729-nucleotide ribosomal RNA is filed under the name uncultured bacterium. RNAcentral's name for it is "bacterial SSU rRNA". It matches the Rfam family "Bacterial small subunit ribosomal RNA", at positions 51 to 769 of the family's 1533-position model. The record is from RNAcentral.
ACACAUGCAGUCGAGCGGCAGCACAGAGAAACUUGUUUCUCGGGUGGCGAGCGGCGGACGGGUGAGUAAUGCCUGGGAAAUUGCCCUGAUGUGGGGGAUAACCAUUGGAAACGAUGGCUAAUACCGCAUAAUAGCUUCGGCUCAAAGAGGGGGACCUUCGGGCCUCUCGCGUCAGGAUAUGCCCAGGUGGGAUUAGCUAGUUGGUGAGGUAAUGGCUCACCAAGGCGACGAUCCCUAGCUGGUCUGAGAGGAUGAUCAGCCACACUGGAACCGAGACACGGUCCAGACUCCUACGGGAGGCAGCAGUGGGGAAUAUUGCACAAUGGGCGCAAGCCUGAUGCAGCCAUGCCGCGUGUGUGAAGAAGGCCUUCGGGUUGUAAAGCACUUUCAGUCGUGAGGAAGGUGGUAGUGUUAAUAGCACUAUCAUUUGACGUUAGCGACAGAAGAAGCACCGGCUAACUCCGUGCCAGCAGCCGCGGUAAUACGGAGGGUGCGAGCGUUAAUCGGAAUUACUGGGCGUAAAGCGCAUGCAGGUGGUUUGUUAAGUCAGAUGUGAAAGCCCGGGGCUCAACCUCGGAAUAGCAUUUGAAACUGGCAAGCUAGAGUACUGUAGAGGGGGGUAGAAUUUCAGGUGUAGCGGUGAAAUGCGUAGAGAUCUGAAAGGAAUACCGGUGGCGAAGGCGGCCCCCUGGACAGAUACUGACACUCAGAUGCGAAAGCGUGGGGAGC